CCUACGUGAGGCAGCAGUGGGUAAUAUUGCACAAUGGGGGAAACCCUGAUGCAGCGACGCCGCGUGAGUGAAGCAGUAUUUCGGUACGUAACGCUCUAUCAGCAGGGAAGAAAAACCGGCCUUAGGGCCGCCAGACGGUACCUGACUAAGACGCCCCGGCUAACUACGUGCCAGCAGCCGCGGGAAUACGUAGGGGGCAAGAGGUAUCCGGAUUUACUGGGGGGAAAGGGAGCGUAGACGGCAGCGCAAGUCUGGAGUGAAAUGCCGGGGCCCAACCCCGGAACUGCUUUGGAAACUGUGCAGCUGGAGUGCAGGAGAGGUAAGCGGAAUUCCUAGUGUAGCGGUGAAAUGCGUAGAUAUUAGGAGGAACACCAGUGGCGAAGGCGGCUUACUGGACUGUAACUGACGUUGAGGCUCGAAAGCGUGGGGAGCAAACAGGAUUAGAUACCCUGGUAGUC
RNAcentral lists this ribosomal RNA (458 nucleotides) under uncultured bacterium. Its description in RNAcentral is "partial 16S ribosomal RNA". It matches the Rfam family "Bacterial small subunit ribosomal RNA", at positions 338 to 795 of the family's 1533-position model. The record is from RNAcentral.